AACGAACGCUGGCGGCAUGCCUAAUACAUGCAAGUCGAACGGAAUGGGGCAACCCAUUUAGUGGCGGACGGGUGAGUAACGCGUGGGAACCUGCCCAUCGGUACGGAAUAACCUCGGGAAACUGUGGCUAAUACCGUAUGCUCCCUUCGGGGGAAAGAUUUAUCCCGGGUGGAGGGGCCCGCGUCGGAUUAGGUAGUUGGUGAGGUAACGGCUCACCAAGCCUUCGCUCCGUAGCUGGUCUGAGGGGAUGAUCAGCCACACUGGGACUGAGACACGGCCCAGACUCCUACGGGAGGCAGCAGUAGGGAAUAUUGGACAAUGGGGGCAACCCUGAUCCAGCAAUGCCGCGUGAGUGAUGAAGGCCUUAGGGUUGUAAAGCUCUUUUGGCAGGGACGAUGAUGACGGUACCUGCAGAAUAAGCCCCGGCUAACUUCGUGCCAGCAGCCGCCGUAA
This 453-nucleotide ribosomal RNA is filed under the name uncultured bacterium. Its description in RNAcentral is "partial 16S ribosomal RNA". It matches the Rfam family "Bacterial small subunit ribosomal RNA", at positions 29 to 523 of the family's 1533-position model. The record is from RNAcentral.